UUAGACGCGGGCGAACUGCCCCACUUCCCCGCCCUGCGAAACAAAAAUUUCGCUAAGUACCGUCCCUAGCCUCCUAUUCUCUAACCCUAACUCUCCGCCGCCACCCACCCUUUCUCUUCCGAUCCAAUGUCCCAUACCGCCGCCCCUCCCGUCCCCCACUCACCGCUCUCCAAGUCUUCGCUUAGUCGUCGUCCUCCGACCUCGCAGCAGAAGCAACCCGCCAUGGCCGCCGCCUCCGCGUCUGAUAUGGAGAGCAAGGAGGCACUGGGCUUCGUCAACAACCCGCGGAUGGUCGGCCUCGCCGUAGAUCAGCGCGCGUGAGAGCAUGCGGUGGUCCGGUCCACGAGGCCGAUGGAUCAGGCCGCAGAGUUCUACAACCAGACCAUCGAUGAGGCAGCGUUGGGGGCAGUGCAGUACCAACUUCUGGACAUUUUCCAUCCCAGUGUGGUGCCGAUGCACAAGCUUAAUUAAGCAGAUUUCUGAUGCGUUCCUAUUCGUUAAAGGAUGCCGUAUUGUACAACUUAGAUGGCCGCGAUGCUGAUUUUGGGGGUGUUGUUCCGUAGGUGAAUUUCGGCUAAGACGGAGCACGCCAUGAUCCACAACUACAAGGUUCUCCAGGAUGUUUUCAACAAGCUGCGAAUCAACAAGGAAUGGCCUCAAGGAGAAGCAAGCCUCUGUAGAUCUGGCUAAGAACGAGAUCUAGAAAGGUCUUGAUUUCCCAUUAGGCCAUAUGAUUUUUUUACACAAUAGAUCAGCAACAAGAUGGGCUUGAGCCUGCAAUGGAGGCAACUAUCUAGUUCCUGAACAAGGCGGUGAAGUCAGUGCUUGUCGGCAGCCGAAUGCCUUUGUUGACCCUGUAGAUGCAGCACUACAGGCCUUUGUUGACCUUGUAGAUGAAGGCCUUUCUUAUGUCCGGAUUGGCGCUUUUUGGCAUGUUUCAGUGUUGGUGCAAGUAAAGAGAAUCUUAUGUGCCAACAAUUCUGUCAGUUCUUUGCAAACGAUGCCGAGAAGGGCUUUGUGAAGAAGAGUAAGGCUGAGAAACAUCCCAACAAGCCCAAGUGCCCCUCGAGUGCCUUCUUAGUCUCUGUGCAUUUCCCUCAUCUACGUGAUAUUUCUAUAUCCGUUUUGAUUCUGUGGUUUGUGUCGUGUUCUAACUAUUGUUUUGGUGUGUUUCUAGUUCUUCCGGGAGGGGUUCAGGAAGGUGUUAAAAAGAUUCGGCUCGCUCUUCUGAAAAACAAAAUCCUAACACUGAAUAAGUUUAUGGCAUUUAAGUUCAACCAACCUUGUAGUAAAACUAUUCACCUUCAUUUUGUGGAGAUAGAAUACCUACUUGUUGAAAUUUAUAGUCAUUUAUAAUUUGCAACAUAGUUUUCACUGUAAAGAAAACAUUUAAAUUCAAUAUGUAAGGGGUCUGACUAUUUACUUCUUGACUUAAAGUGAGAGAAUUAGUAUAGAGGGCUCUUCAUGACUGUUGAUAUGCAUUUCUUAUCUUUUAUUUCUAUUUUGCCAGUCAAGCUCUAUCUGGGAAUUUGGCCAGCAUGCUACUUGCAAUUUUGCAAAAUAUGAGGUUCCUUUUGGGCACCAUGCCUACCUUUAUUGAUUCCACCAUCAAUGAGAUGAUAGUCUUGUACUUUUGCUGUAACACCUAUAUAGCUAAUGAUGUUGAAUAAUGUGAUAAUCUCAUCACUCAUGUACUGAAUUUUCAUUUCUCAGACUCGAUACUUACUAUCGCUGGUGCAGUAGUGCUAGUUACAUUGGUAUUGUGUCAGUUCUCCUUGCUUUGUGUGAGUUCUUUGGAUGACCCCCUUUGCACAAGAGAGGUAGUUCGUUGGGACCAAUUGAGGAGCAGCACCCUGGCUUGUGAUCGCUAUCGAAGGAGCUCAAGUCUGUAGAAGUUUGAAGUCACACUCUAGUUAUACUAUGAUUAUCAUUGUAUCUGUUAUGUAACUGACUGAAUCUGGCUGUUAUUUGAAAUACUAAGUGUGUAUUAUGUCUAU
Long non-coding RNA from Lolium perenne, 1997 nucleotides. RefSeq lists it as uncharacterized. NCBI's taxonomy places the organism in Eukaryota, Viridiplantae, Streptophyta, Magnoliopsida, Poales, Poaceae. The record is from RefSeq and is a predicted model, not a curated record.